UACGUAGGUGGCGAGCGUUAUCCGGAAUUAUUAGGCGUAAAGAGCGCGCAGGUGGUUGAUUAAGUCUGAUGUGAAAGCCCACGGCUUAACCGUGGAGGGUCAUUGGAAACUGGUCGACUUGAGUGCAGAAGAGGGAAGUGGAAUUCCAUGUGUAGCGGUGAAAUGCGUAGAGAUAUGGAGGAACACCAGUGGUGAAGGCGGCUUCCUGGUCUGUAACUGAGACUGAGGCGCGAAAGCGUGGGGAGCAAACAGGAUUAGAUA
This 261-nucleotide ribosomal RNA is filed under the name uncultured prokaryote. Its description in RNAcentral is "partial 16S ribosomal RNA". It matches the Rfam family "Bacterial small subunit ribosomal RNA", at positions 524 to 784 of the family's 1533-position model. The record is from RNAcentral.